GGACUACAGGGGUAUCUAAUCCCGUUCGCUCCCCUGGCUUUCGCACCUGAGCGUCAGGAACUUGCCAGGACACUGCCUUCGCCUUUGGUGUUCCUCCGGAUAUCUACGCAUUUCACCACUACACCCGGAAUUCCGUGUCCCUCUCAAGUCCUCAAGCCCACCAGUCUUCAAGGUCCUUCUCCAGUUAAGCCGGAGACUGUCACCUCAAACUUGGCAGGCCGCCUGCGUGCGCUUUACGCCCAGUAACUCCGGACAACGCUCGCCCCCUACGUAUUACCGCGGCUGCUGGCAC
This 292-nucleotide ribosomal RNA is filed under the name uncultured bacterium. RNAcentral's name for it is "partial 16S ribosomal RNA". The record is from RNAcentral.